GACGAACGCUGGCGGCGUGCUUAACACAUGCAAGUCGAACGGAAAGGCCCUGCUUUUGUGGGGUGCUCGAGUGGCGAACGGGUGAGUAACACGUGAGUAACCUGCCCUUGACUUUGGGAUAACUUCAGGAAACUGGGGCUAAUACCGGAUAGGAGCUCCUGCUGCAUGGUGGGGGUUGGAAAGUUUCGGCGGUUGGGGAUGGACUCGCGGCUUAUCAGCUUGUUGGUGGGGUAGUGGCUUACCAAGGCUUUGACGGGUAGCCGGCCUGAGAGGGUGACCGGCCACAUUGGGACUGAGAUACGGCCCAGACUCCUACGGGCGGCAGCAGUGUGGGAUAUUGCACAAUGGGCGGAAGCCUGAUGCAGCAACGCCGCGUGCGGGAUGACGGCCUUCGGGUUGUAAACCGCUUUCGCCUGUGACGAAGCGUGAGUGACGGUAAUGGGUAAAGAAGCACCGGCUAACUACGUG
RNAcentral lists this ribosomal RNA (468 nucleotides) under uncultured bacterium. Its description in RNAcentral is "partial 16S ribosomal RNA". It matches the Rfam family "Bacterial small subunit ribosomal RNA", at positions 28 to 507 of the family's 1533-position model. The record is from RNAcentral.